RNAcentral lists this ribosomal RNA (253 nucleotides) under uncultured bacterium. RNAcentral's name for it is "partial 16S ribosomal RNA". It matches the Rfam family "Bacterial small subunit ribosomal RNA", at positions 524 to 776 of the family's 1533-position model. The record is from RNAcentral.
UACGUAGGGGGCAAGCGUUGUCCGGAUUUAUUGGGCGUAAAGAGCGUGUAGGCGGCUAGGUAGGUCCGUUGUGAAAACUCGAGGCUCAACCUCGAGACGUCGAUGGAAACCAUCUAGCUAGAGUCCGGAAGAGGAGAGUGGAAUACCUGGUGUAGCGGUGAAAUGCGCAGAUAUCAGGAGGAACACCGGUGGCGAAGGCGGAUCUCUGGGCCUUACCUGACGCUGAGGCGCGAAAGCUAGGGGAGCGAACAGG